GAAUGGGCAGAAAAGAUGAGCUGCGCGGAAAAAUCCAUUCAAGUAUGGGUUUUGCAAAAUUGCCUCUUUGAUUGGAAGCUUACCCAGAAAUUAGGGUUAGGUACAUGCACCAGGUUAGGGUUAGGGUUAGGAAAACGAGGUGUCCUGGCAUGCUCUUGAUGGUUGGAAUGUGCUUAGAAUUGGCAGAAAAAUUGAGCUGCGCAGAAACAUCCACUCAAGGAUGGUUUUUUCCUAAUUGCCGCAUUUUGAAUGGAAGCUUACCCAGAAAUUAGGGUUAGGUAUAUGCACCAGGUUAGGGUUAGGGUUACCAAAACGAGGUGUCCUGGCAUGCUCUUGAUGGUUGGAAUGUGCUUAGAAAUGGCAGAAAAAUUGAGCUGCGCAGAAACAUCCACUCAAGGAUGGUUUUUUCCUAAUUGCCGCAUUUUGAAUGGAAGCUUACCCAGAAAUUAGGGUUAGGUAUAUGCACCAGGUUAGGGUUAGGGUUAGAAAAACGAGGUGUCCUGGCAUGCUCUUGAUGGUUGGAAUGUGUUUAGAAUGGGCAGAAAAGGUGAGCUGCGCAGAAAAACUGACUCAAGGGUGGGUUUUCCAAAAUUGCGGCAUUUUGAAAGGAAGCUUACCCAGAAAUUAGGGUUAGGUAUAUGCACCAGGUUAGGGUUAGGGUUAGCAAAACGAGGUAUCCUGGCAUGCUCUUGAUGGUUGGAAUGUGCUUAGAAUUGGCAGAAAAAUUGAGCAGCGCAGAAACAUCCACUCAAGGAUGGGUUUCUCAAAAUUGCCGCAUUUUGAAUGGAAGCUUACCCAGAAAUUAGGGUUAGGUAUAUGCACCAGGUUAGGGUUAGGGUUA
Long non-coding RNA from Varanus komodoensis (Komodo dragon), 841 nucleotides. RefSeq lists it as uncharacterized. NCBI's taxonomy places the organism in Eukaryota, Metazoa, Chordata, Lepidosauria, Squamata, Varanidae. The transcript has 2 exons. The record is from RefSeq and is a predicted model, not a curated record.